RNAcentral lists this ribosomal RNA (425 nucleotides) under Escherichia coli. RNAcentral's name for it is "bacterial SSU rRNA". It matches the Rfam family "Bacterial small subunit ribosomal RNA", at positions 348 to 787 of the family's 1533-position model. The record is from RNAcentral. Lineage: Bacteria; Pseudomonadati; Pseudomonadota; Gammaproteobacteria; Enterobacterales; Enterobacteriaceae.
GCAGCAGUGGGGAAUAUUGGACAAUGGACCAAAAGUCUGAUCCAGCAAUUCUGUGUGCACGAUGACGUUUUUCGGAAUGUAAAGUGCUUUCAGUUGGGAAGAAAAAAAUGACGGUACCAACAGAAGAAGUGACGGCUAAAUACGUGCCAGCAGCCGCGGUAAUACGUAUGUCACAAGCGUUAUCCGGAUUUAUUGGGCGUAAAGCGCGUCUAGGUGGUUAUGUAAGUCUGAUGUGAAAAUGCAGGGCUCAACUCUGUAUUGCGUUGGAAACUGCAUGACUAGAGUACUGGAGAGGUAAGCGGAACUACAAGUGUAGAGGUGAAAUUCGUAGAUAUUUGUAGGAAUGCCGAUGGGGAAGCCAGCUUACUGGACAGAUACUGACGCUAAAGCGCGAAAGCGUGGGUAGCAAACAGGAUUAGAUACCC